This 460-nucleotide ribosomal RNA is filed under the name uncultured bacterium. Its description in RNAcentral is "partial 16S ribosomal RNA". It matches the Rfam family "Bacterial small subunit ribosomal RNA", at positions 338 to 795 of the family's 1533-position model. The record is from RNAcentral.
CCUACGGGUGGCAGCAGUGAGGAAUAUUGGUCAAUGGGCGAGAGCCUGAACCAGCCAAGUCGCGUGAAGGAUGACGGCCCUAAGGGUUGUAAACUUCUUUUUUCAGGGAGCAAUUGAGUCCACGUGUGGGCUUAGCGAGAGUACCUGAAGAAAAAGCAGCGGCUAACUCCGUGCCAGCAGCCGCGGUAAUACGGAGGAUGCGAGCGUUAUCCGGAUUUAUUGGGCUUAAAGGGUGCGGAGCCGGACCAUGAAGUCAGCGGUAAAAAUUCGGUGCUAAACCCCGUCGUGCCGUUGAAACUGCUGUUCUUGAGUGGGCGAGAAGUAUGCGGAAUGCGUGGUGUAGCGGUGAAAUGCAUAGAUAUCACGCAGAACUCCGAUUGCGAAGGCAGCAUACCGGCGCCCAACUGACGCUGAAGCACGAAAGCGUGGGUAUCGAACAGGAUUAGAUACCCUAGUAGUC